CCUACGGGGUGCAGCAGUAGGGAAUCUUCCACAAUGGGCGAAAGCCUGAUGGAGCAACGCCGCGUGGGUGAAGAAGGUCUUCGGAUCGUAAAACCCUGUUGUUAGAGAAGAAAGUGCGUGAGAGUAACUGUUCACGUUUCGACGGUAUCUAACCAGAAAGCCACGGCUAACUACGUGCCAGCAGCCGCGGUAAUACGUAGGUGGCAAGCGUUAUCCGGAUUUAUUUGGCGUAAAGGGAACGCAGGCGGUCUUUUAAGUCUGAUGUGAAAGCCUUCGGCUUAACCGGAGUAGUGCAUUGGAAACUGGGAGACUUGAGUGCAGAAGAGGAGAGUGGAACUCCAUGUGUAGCGGUGAAAUGCGUAGAUAUAUGGAAGAACACCAGUGGCGAAAGCGGCUCUCUGGUCUGUAACUGACGCUGAGGUUCGAAAGCGUGGGUAGCAAACAGGAUUAGAUACCCCUGUAGUC
This 465-nucleotide ribosomal RNA is filed under the name uncultured bacterium. RNAcentral's name for it is "partial 16S ribosomal RNA". It matches the Rfam family "Bacterial small subunit ribosomal RNA", at positions 338 to 795 of the family's 1533-position model. The record is from RNAcentral.